Rhododendron vialii is the source of this 1362-nucleotide long non-coding RNA. RefSeq lists it as uncharacterized. The record is from RefSeq and is a predicted model, not a curated record. The transcript is spliced from 3 exons. NCBI's taxonomy places the organism in Eukaryota, Viridiplantae, Streptophyta, Magnoliopsida, Ericales, Ericaceae.
UGGUAUUAUUUUAUUUUUUUCCUUACAGCAAUGUCAUCAUCUUUUGGGUCCUUUCUUUGUGUACUCGAUUGAGCAUGUGUGUUAUAGGCCAAUUAUCACUUCCACCAUAUGAAGUUUCAGAUUGCUCUCUCAUGGAAAUCACCUAGAAAGUUAGCUACAUUUGAUGUGACUUCUGGAAUAUUUUCCUUUUAUAGGUUUUGUUGUUUUGAUGUUGGCUGAAGAUUUAGCUACCCAUGUUGUGGAUGUAACUCCUCUGAUCCAUUAUUCAGAGAUUAUUCUCUUUUUUCGUUUUGUCAAAUGCAGAAUAAGGUUGCGAAUGGCGAAGCAUCUCUAAUCUUAUUGUCUACAGGAAAUGCUAGCAGGAGAGUUGCUUGCUUGAACAAGUGUUAUGAUGUAGUUUACAUUUUUUGUCAUUGUCUUUGUGUAUGUUUGUCUCUCCAUCUCACUUUAUGUGCGUGUGUGUGUAGAUGUAAUUGGUGACAUCUCUCCAAAGCCCUAUUAGGGUUACAGAUCUAAUUGGUCAUGUCUUUGAUUGUCUUAACUGAUUAGUUGCUCAGAAAUUGGGGACGGAAGAUGAGGAUAAAGAAUCAGUCUCAGUUUUUUUGGGUUUUGAGGGUAGUUAACACUAUAGAUCAUGCCGCUUGAUGAAGAGAGUUCUUGAUGUAAAGGCUCCACAGCCUGGGGCUUGAUAGAGUUGCUUCACUGAGUUUCACUCAGUUUUGGUUGCAUCACUUGGCUUUUCGAGUUUUGAACCUCUGUAUUUUUUUUUGGUUAUGCUCAAUGCCUACCUAGCUACCAAAUUUCUUCAUUUGUAUCGUGUUUGUUGUGGGAAUGUCUCAUUGGAUUUCCUUCUUCUCUAUGGGUCAAGUUUUGUGCGUGGUGGUGUUUAUGGGGUUGUAUUCUUGGUGAAUUUUAUUUUGAUUUUCAAAUUUUCUUUUCAGGAACUAAUUAGCGAAUUGUGUGACUCGAAUCACUCAAGAUUUCAGGAACUAAUUUACGAAUGGUGUGACCAGAAAUCACUCUAGUUUGAUAACCUACCGUAGACGGGGAUGCGCACUAAUGGAUGUCGGCGAUCCUUCCCAAAUCGACGGGUCCAACGGCAUGGGUUUUGAAAGUUGGGACGAGGGUUCGAGUUGGGGUUUGUUUUGAAGUCCAAUUGAAGAGUUUUGUAUCUGAAGCUGAUGGGCAAAUUAAUCUAUUUCAUUCUGGGCAGAGCAAUCACUAAGGUGCUUUCCAAGAGCCAAGGGGUUUCUAGGGAGUCAUAUUGCGUGAAUGUAGGAAAGCCACAACAAUAUCAUAUUGUCGAUUCUAAAGUAUCUAUUUCGAUUGUCUCAGGCGAUGGGAUCGGUUUUUUUUCUUGAU